Long non-coding RNA from Mastomys coucha (southern multimammate mouse), 935 nucleotides. RefSeq lists it as uncharacterized. The transcript has 5 exons. The record is from RefSeq and is a predicted model, not a curated record. Lineage: Eukaryota; Metazoa; Chordata; Mammalia; Rodentia; Muridae.
GAGAGAUGCUGACUUGUGCCACCAGCCAUUGUCCCCCAGGGAAUACAGGCAGAGCCUGGGCAAAGAUUAUGAUGCUGAAGGUUUCAAAUAGCCUAUUUUAUAAAGGAGUGUCUAAGGUUGGGGAGAAGAACAAAAGAGAGAGGAAUGGAGAAAAGGAAGAGAAAGCAGAGAAAGGAGUGAUUAUUUGCCCAGGCAAAGCCCACUCCCAUCUCUAAAGCUCUGUGGAGAUUAAUGGCAAUUCUUAACUAAAUGUCCCAUCUCCCUAGAUUGUCACCUCCCAUCCUGCCUCUGGCUCUGGGCUUUGCUCAUCCCAGAGAGAUAAUUCUACCUUUGGAUCUUUCUCUUGUGGCUUUCCCCCUGCAUAGCUUCCAGGACUGCAUGGUGAGCCACCCACACACCCACAGACUUAGGGUUUCUCUUACAGAGGGUUCAUAAGGAAAUUUAAGUCAACCCCCAGCUUUGACAGGUGAAGCCCUCUGGGAGGCUGGGUGUUCCAAGAGCCAGGGCAACACUGGAAUGUCCUUCCAAACCAGGGCCCAAACAGCUGAGGAGCUCCAGUUACCCAAGAGGUGCAGCCAGAACAAGACGGACAUUUACCUGUGGGUCAGGCCUGGCUCAUCCCUGGUCUGGAAGCUUCCUAGUAGAAGGCACUAUGUUUCGCCAGCUCCUGCUAUGUCAUUUGGUAUACAAUAUUCACGCGAGCAAGCGACCACCCAUGCCCCUGCGUUUACUCUCCCUGUCACCACAACACACAGUAUCCCGAGUGUCAGAUAUUUUGCUGCUUGCUAAUGGCACAAGAGAAGAAGCAUGCUAAUCUCUUGGGGUGAUCAAACAGACCAAGCAGAAACGAUACCCUUUCUUCUCCUGCUGUCUUGAGCACCUUGUGUCCGUUCACUCAGCACGAUUCCAUCUUAGCAAUAAAUCCCCCACAAGGA